GGCUGAGGCGGCGGGGGGUGGCCCGUUCUCCUCAGCAGUGAGGGAGCGCUUCGGCGGUGCGGCCCCGCCGCCCCUCCGCCGGCUGCCGUCCCGCUGCGAGGCCCAGCGGAGGGCGGGGAGGUGCGGGAUAACGGCUUCCCCGAGGAGCCUCGCCGCGGCCGUCUGGCGGUGAGGGCGGAGGUGUGCCGCCCGCCCGCCCCGCCGCCCGGCGGAGCCGAGGGGAAGGCGCGGGGCCGGCGGCAGCACGGCGGCGGCACACGGAGUCACCGAGGAAACCGGGACGCGCCGCGUUCUGUUUCCUUCAGCCCUCCGAACUGGCAGCAUUUAAAGCGAUUUUAACCCUCGUGGCUGAGGGUAUUAAAGCGCAUUUGGCAGGCCCGGCGCAGCGCGUCAUGUUUCAGGGAAGACACUUAAGAUGGCCUUGUGCCAGCUCAAACAUCGUCUUGGCUCAGGCGCUGGACCACCGAAAAACAGACUGACUUCACCCCCUUGUGCAUUAUGAAUGAUCACUGCCUGCGGAGUAAUACUGCAGUGGGAAAUGAACACUCUCUUCAGCAGGUUUGAUAAAAGAUAUCACCAUUACCAACAAUUUUUUUUGCAUACGUGUGACAACACAGCCCUACUCCACACUCCUUGCUGGAUAAAAUCAUGCCUGGUCACAUCCUCAUGUGUCUAUCAUAGAAUCAUUAAGGUUGGAAAAGACUUCUAGGAUCAUCAAGUCCAACCAUCAACCCAACACUACCGUGUCUCCUAAACCAUGAAAUGAAGCGCCACAUCUACGUGUCUUUUAAAUAGCUCCAGGGAUGGUGACUCCACCACCUCUCUGGGCAGCCUGUUCCAAUGCCUGACCACUCUUUCAGUGAAGAAUUUUUUCCUAAUAUCCAAUCUAAACCUCCCCUGAUGCAGCUUGAGGCCAUUUCCUCUUGUUCUAUCACUAAUGACCUGGGAGAAGAGACCAACACCCGCAAUUUAUCCAGCAUUAAAUAACCGCACAGUGGUAUAAUUGCAGCUAACACUGGUUUAUGCUUGCUAUGCCUGUCCAGCUUAGCAAAUAUACAAAUAAAUACUGUGUACUUAUAGUGGGGGUGUGUGCUCUCCCUGUAUUACAUGCUAAAGGAAUUAGGUUACAAAGCAGAAAACAGGUUUUCCUUAAAACAAAUAAUCAUGAGUUUAGAUGGUAUAUAUUGAGGAGUCCUAUUUAUUUCAAUACAUCCUUUUAAUGGAAGUAUUCCAAGCUCUUUAAGUUUAGCAUUCAAGUAGGGAAGUUCCUUUUCCCCGUAGUAUUUUUCUCAUGUAUUUACCUUUCUACUGAAACCUCCAGCUUUGGUUUGCAGACAUUAUCAUCACCACAAUCCAGCAGAAUAUGUGCCUAUGAAGAAAUCAAGUACAUAUUGUUAUAACAAAUUCCUGCAUCUGUUUUAACAUACGUUUCCAAUAAUACUGUUUCACCACCAAAUAAAAUUUUCUAAGUAGCUGUUUAUGAGAUAUCUUCAUCUCGUUAGUCUCAGAAGAGAACGACUGACUUUUUAUAUAUGGGGGGGCACUGUGCCUCAUCCUGCCACACUGCAAUUUUAGGACUGAUGUCUAUAUAUCUUAAUUCUCCUUCCAUACUUCAAAUAAUCUGUUCAUCUUGAGUUGCGCCUCCACUAUCCUCUUUACAAACAAGUGUAAAAAUUGGCAUGAACGGUAGAAAUAGAAAAACUCUGUUCAUUACCUUAAGAGAAUUAUAGGGGUAAACACAAUAUACAUAGAACAGCAAUGGGUAAGACACUCCAAUCCUUCAAGAUUAAUACCUUCAAUACUACUCUAACUGCUUAUCUCCAGAAAACUCUUAAUUGGUAUACAUGAAAAAGAAGUCCAGCACUAAGGAAUAAUGUGCCAAAAAAGAAACUUGACAAAGAGAAGAAAAAAAAGAGACACACAGAUACAGUAACCAUCAAUAUUUCCAUAAAACAAAGACUAAAUCCUAGAUACAUAUUUUGGUAUCUUAAUUUUUCAGAAGUCUUAAGAUGAACAUAAAUAUUGAAAGCUGAAAAUAUGUUCUGGGUUCUCUCAUCACAGAUUA
Non-coding RNA from Phalacrocorax carbo (great cormorant), 2065 nucleotides. NCBI's taxonomy places the organism in Eukaryota, Metazoa, Chordata, Aves, Suliformes, Phalacrocoracidae. The record is from RefSeq and is a predicted model, not a curated record.